RNAcentral lists this transfer RNA (72 nucleotides) under Candidatus Methanomethylophilus sp. 1R26. It matches the Rfam family "tRNA". From Rfam's summary of the family: Transfer RNA (tRNA) molecules are approximately 80 nucleotides in length. Their secondary structure includes four short double-helical elements and three loops (D, anti-codon, and T loops). Further hydrogen bonds mediate the characteristic L-shaped molecular structure. tRNAs have two regions of fundamental functional importance: the anti-codon, which is responsible for specific mRNA codon recognition, and the 3' end, to which the tRNAs corresponding amino acid is attached (by aminoacyl-tRNA synthetases). tRNAs cope with the degeneracy of the genetic code in two manners: having more than one tRNA (with a specific anti-codon) for a particular amino acid; and 'wobble' base-pairing, i.e. permitting non-standard base-pairing at the 3rd anti-codon position. Lineage: Archaea; Methanobacteriati; Thermoplasmatota; Thermoplasmata; Methanomassiliicoccales; Methanomethylophilaceae. The record is from Rfam by way of RNAcentral.
AGCCCCGUAGUGUAGUGUCAAUCAUCGGAGACUCUGGAUCUUUGGACAUCAGUUCGAAUCUGGUCGGGGCUA